GGGGAUAUAGCUCAGUUGGUAGAGUGCUUGCCUCACAUGUACAAGGCCCUGGGUUCAAUCCCCAGCACCA
Molecule: transfer RNA, 70 nt
Filed under: Marmota marmota marmota (Alpine marmot)
Lineage: Eukaryota; Metazoa; Chordata; Mammalia; Rodentia; Sciuridae
Also listed under: 6 other names
Rfam family: tRNA
About the family: Transfer RNA (tRNA) molecules are approximately 80 nucleotides in length. Their secondary structure includes four short double-helical elements and three loops (D, anti-codon, and T loops).
Source: Rfam by way of RNAcentral